GAUGAACGCCGGCGGCGUGCUUAACACAUGCAAGUCGAACGGAAAGGCCCAAGCUUGCUUGGGUACUCGAGUGGCGAACGGGUGAGUAACACGUGGGUGAUCUGCCCUGCACUUCGGGAUAAGCCUGGGAAACUGGGUCUAAUACCGGAUAGGACCACAUUUUGGAUGGUGUGGUGGAAAGUUUUUCGGUGUGGGAUGAGCUCGCGGCCUAUCAGCUUGUUGUGGGGGUAAUGGCCUACCAAGGCGUCGACGGGUAGCCGGCCUGAGGGGGUGUACGGCCGCAUUGGGUCUGAGGUACGGCCCAGGCGCCUACGGGAGGCAGCAGGGGGGAAUAUUGAACAAUGGGCGCAAGCCUGAUGCAGCGACGCCGCGGGGGGGAUGACGGCCUUCGGGUUGUAAACUCCUUGCGCUAGGGACGAAGCGUGAUGUGACGGUACCUGGAGAAGAAGCACCGGCUAACUACGUG
RNAcentral lists this ribosomal RNA (466 nucleotides) under uncultured bacterium. RNAcentral's name for it is "partial 16S ribosomal RNA". It matches the Rfam family "Bacterial small subunit ribosomal RNA", at positions 28 to 507 of the family's 1533-position model. The record is from RNAcentral.